This 787-nucleotide ribosomal RNA is filed under the name uncultured organism. Its description in RNAcentral is "bacterial SSU rRNA". It matches the Rfam family "Bacterial small subunit ribosomal RNA", at positions 60 to 858 of the family's 1533-position model. The record is from RNAcentral.
AGUCGAGCGAGAAAGCCCCUUCGGGGGUGAGUACAGCGGCGCACGGGUGAGUAACACGUGGACAAUCUACCUCGAAGUGGGGGAUAACUUCGCGAAAGUGGGGCUAAUACCGCAUAAUCUUCUUUUGCCGAGGUGAAAGGAGGAAAGGUUUACCGCUUUGAGAUGAGUCUGCGGCCCAUCAGCUAGUUGGUAGGGUAACGGCCUACCAAGGCGACGACGGGUAGCUGGCCUGAGAGGGUAACCAGCCACACUGGAACUGGAACACGGUCCAGACUCCUACGGGAGGCAGCAGUGGGGAAUCUUGCGCAAUGGGGGAAACCCUGACGCAGCGACGCCGCGUGGGUGAAGAAGGCCUUCGGGUUGUAAAGCCCUGUCGCAGAGGAAGAAAAGGCAACUUGACGGUACUCUGUGAGAAAGCACAGGCUAACUCCGUGCCAGCAGCCGCGGUAACACGGAGUGUGCGAGCGUUGUUCGGAAUCACUGGGCGUAAAGCGAUUGUAGGCGGAUUAUCAAGUCGGUAGUGAAAUCCCGGGGCUCAACCCCGGACUGGCAUCCGAAACUGAUAGUCUUGAGUCCGGUAGAGGGCAGUGGAAUCCCCGGUGUAGAGGUGAAAUUCGUAGAUAUCGGGAAGAACACCAGUGGCGAAGGCGACUGCCUAGGCCGAGACUGACGCUGAGAAUCGAAAGCGUGUGGAGCGAACAGGAUUAGAUACCCUGGUAGUCCACGCCGUCAACGGUGGGCACUAGGUGGUGCGGGUGUCUGACCCCUGCGCCGACGGAGUUAACGC